Molecule: long non-coding RNA, 4234 nt
Filed under: Spirodela polyrhiza (greater duckweed)
Lineage: Eukaryota; Viridiplantae; Streptophyta; Magnoliopsida; Alismatales; Araceae
Description: long non-coding RNA (SPOL_LNC000127)
Source: RNAcentral
UUGGAUGGACGCGAUGACGACGCCAAAUGCGUGUGGAGAUGAGCAACGUUGCGGUCAGUUCUAUCUCCGUCGAGGAGUUAACAUCAUAGGUAACAAAAGUCAAGCAAAUCGUGGGCCACAAGAAGAAAUACUGCAGCUACGCUGUAACUUUCGGGAUCCAAAGUCAAUGACUUGCAGAAACUUCGACCACGUCGGCCUGGCAGGUAUUGUCCUACUCCGACGACACCAGCCCCCCUACCCCACGGCAGCUACACCGUAACUUUCGGGUUCCAAAGUCAAUGACUUCCUGUAAAAGAAACGCCUUCGUAAACACUUGCAGGAAGGGCGCCAUUUUUGUCAUGGCCUUCGACUUCUUCUCCUCGUUCACUUUGAGAAGAAAAAGGAUAUGUGGGCACAUGUUCAUCCUUGCGCUCUCCUAGAGCAUGAUGAUGGGAUCUUCGCGUCCAUCAAAUCAUAAAGUGCGAGAGGGUUGAAUGGAUGAAUAUUUGCCAGCGAAUUUGUGGAACCUGGUAGAAUCAUUAACAAUGGCACGUUUCGCGCCUAACUCAGAAAAGAUAUUGUAAGCUUUGUUAGGCCUUUCCAGAGGAGCUAAUUCACCACUGUUAAUAUUCAACACCAUUGACAAAAUCCUUCGAGAUCAUCCAUUUGACAUGGCCCAUCUCAUUGAUCCCCUUAUAAAUGUCCUCUUCUAACUCAAACAUCUCAAAUGAAUAAAGAACUCCCAAUGAAAAUAUUCACAAGGUAAUUAUUUGCAUAAUGUUGCCAUCGCUCCAAUAUCAUACCCUACGUCGCCAAAGGAUGAGAUAGGCUUGGCCCCAUAUGGCUCUAUCCUUCUAAAACCACAUCCAACAAGCGGAUAAGUUGAGACUGUUUCUUUUGCUAGUGAUGGUUUCCAACCAAAUGAAGCAAGGGGCACCAAUUGUAGUUGGAAUGUGGGGCUAUUAUUAACAUUGGGGCCCUACCCAAUGUAAAUAAAGUCAACAAUGUUGUUCUAAGUCAUGCAUGUUGCAUAAUUAUUCCAAGCGCAACAAACAUACUUUCAUAGUCAUCACUAGCAAGCGUUCAGCCCCAUUAAAAUUUAUCUAAUCGUUGACGUUCAACUUUGGUCAUGAGUUUCACCUAACAUUAUUUACCAAGUCAAUUACUGCAUAUCAAGUAGAAAUAGAUCAUAGUGACAGAUGUAAAAUGAGCAGCUUUGAUAAGAGAACACCCUAAUAUAGCCCAAUAAAGCCUAUUAAAAAGGAUACAGGUUUCUAUCAUAAUGGAGAAAACUAGUAGGAUGUUUGUCUAGGGAGCUGAAGAGGUAUUAAUUUAACGCUCAAAUGAAGUACGACCUCAGUUCCAACACAAUUCAAGUAGAUUAAGGUUCGAUAUUUGUGAUGAUACAAUUUGGCCCAACUUCAAAUUGAAGUGACCCAAUAACAGAUUUUGAGACAUUUAAUACGUGUGAAAAUCUACUUUUUUAUUCCUUUUAGUUUAUUAAUUAUAUUUUUGUUAAAAUAACAUAAUUAUUUUAUCUUUUAAUGAGUUUAUAACAGAACAACUAGUUUUUAGAACUGUUUUAAUGAAAUACUUAUUUUAUUAAAAUAAAACAAAGACAAUAGGCAAAUAAAGACUGCAUCCUUGGAGCACAGAAUAAGACUGUUUUAUUGGGAUUAUGUUUCUUGUUCAUAAUAAUAAUGAAAAAAGGGCACGAUUUCUUAUUAUGACAGACGAAAAUUUUCUAUAUACUGUUGGCUUCCCCCAGCCCCUAUUUCUCGCCCUAUUCCUUCCCCCUUUACUCUUAGAGAUGGAUUUGGCUUUGUCGGCCGAUACUCUGGCCCUCCUUCCGAUCGUGUCCACCUGCUGUCUUGCAGAUCACCAGAUUACCUGUUCUCGCAGAUCUUCGUCCACAUGGAUGCCACACUGGCCCCAAUAUCUCAACACAAUCAUGCUAGGGGAUCAACGAUCAAUGACUUCAGUCAACAGGCAACAAUAAACCCUUCUCGUCCCCUCUCCCCUCCAGUAAUUAACCCUAUUAAACCCUACUAAACCCUUUUCCCCUCUAAGAUAUUGACCACCUGAUUUCACCAUUGCAUAAUUUGAUUCUUUUCUCAAGCACAUCUAGAACAAAGGGGGAAAAAUAGAGAUGUUUCAUACGUUUCCCGUAAUAUGUGGAAGUAUCGAUGUAAUUUCAUAGAGUCAUUCUCAGAGCACAUAUCAUUCCUCAUCCCCUUGUUUUGCAGGACUUCUAUAAGCAAUGCAACCAAGACCUAAAAUGUCUUUAAAUUAUGACAUGUGAGUUUAAAAUACCAUAGAAAAUUGAGGAUGUUGGGUUCUGGAAGGAACCCUAGCCACCUCUCCCCUCCACAAGCCAGGGCAUAUGGCUCAAAAUCACAUCCUAGGGAUCAACAAUCAAUGACUUCAGUCAGCAGGGAACAAUAAAUCCACCCCCCCCCCCCAGUCAUUAGUACUAAUAAACCAUUCUCCCCUCAGGAUAGUGACCACCUAAUUGCCCUUACUAACCCCUCCAGUCCAGAUUACUUAGGGAACCCUCAGGCUGGGCUCUCCUUCUACACUUUGACAUCGUCUUCUUCAUCAUCCAUCACAUAUCGCAGAGAGCAGAAACUUUAAUAAAAUAUACUAUAAAUAGCGCCAAAAUUUAAAUUAAUGCGGGUAUUUUAUUGGGCUUUUGGGCAUAGGUCCAAUAAGAUUAUAGGCCUCUCAUGGGCCUGACAUCGCCUUCUUCACCAUCCAUCACCUAUCGCAGAGGGCAGAAACUUUUUCUUGCUUCUAUCUAUCUACAUACGAGUCCACCGAAUCCUCAAACGGAUUUCGCCUACAGCUUACACAAGAGAGAAGGAUUAGGUAUAAUCCUCUCCCCAUCUCUCUACUUCUAUUUCUCUCUCGGUCUUUAUCUUCCUCUCUCUUCUUCACUCAACUAUAGGGGAGAGAGAGAGAGAGAGAGAGAGAGAGAGAAUAUAUUCCAUGGUUCAAUAUUUCUAUAUUGGGUCAUUUGGGCCUGAUGUCAGGUAACUUCUUCCAAGCCCACAAAGAAACUAGGUCAAGGCCCGCCAAAGGCCGACGUGGAUAUUUUUAAUGGGCUCUGCUUUCCAGGCCCAAUAUCAAGCAUAUUCCUGUCUGUCCCCACCCUCUGCCUUCGUUCUCUAUUCACCACACCUUCCAAAUUCGCAUGGUUGGGAAGACACAGAACACCUACAGCUCUAAACCAUCAUCCGAUGGCGGAGGAGCACUCGGCGACAGAGAUGCCCCUUAGUGAAGAAGCUGCGCCGCCACCUUCUCCUGGCGGAGGGACCCGAGGAGGAGAGGAGGAACCCCAGAGGUUCUCUCAGGGACUGGCUGUUCUGUCGAUUCCAGUGGCGUUUGCUCUACGCGUAGCUCCACUCCCUAGCGGUUUCGAUCCCAAUAGCCUCCUCCUCGAGCUCGAGGUAGCAUCCACCUACCUCAUGCUGUGCAUCGGCCUCUUGUUGGCACUCUCCAUCCUCACUCCCCAAAGAGCACCAAAGAUGUUGAAAGAAAGCUAUGAACAUGGAGAGGAUCGCCUGGCUGAGAGAUUGGGCUACAGUGAUCACCCUUCGUCUCUUUCUCUCUCUCUUGAUGGGGUUCACGCUGCAGUGGUGCAUCCAAGUUCCUAGGCCUUCUCUGAUCCCUGUUGGACUCUUCUUCCUCGUCAUGCUCUUCAUAGCAACCAUCUCUUCUUUUCUCCUCUUGGAGUGAAACAAACACAAGAAGGCGAGCUCUCCCCCCAUGAAAUAAAACUUUUGUGCCCUUUUUUCAUUAUUAUUAUGAACAAGAAACAUAAUCCCACGAGAUCUUAUUUUACGAUGAUCAGCCACACCAUCAGACAUGCACCAAAUAUUUCAAAGAAGCCGAUUCUUUAGAUUUAAGCACAGAAAAGUUAUGGUAAAAGAUUCUCGUCGGAGAAGAUAGAUAAAAACGGCGCGAGUUCCCGCAUAGGUAGAUGCCGAAGCCCUUCGGAGCCCAGAUCCAACCCCCACAGAAGAUUCGGCUCAAAUCAUCUCCCAGAAAAGGUCAACGUACCCCGGUUCCCUGAGCUGAAAACCACGUAGUCGUUCCCAUCCCAGCACGCAGAGCAGAGAUCAAAGGGGGAAAGAAUACGGCGAGGAGGAGGGGCUGGGGGAUUACCUGACGACGGAGUGGUAGAUCGAACCGUACGGAGCUGCUGAGAACAGGGGCGACGAAACGGGUUGAGCGAAGGAGAUCCGAACNNNNN